AGUCCCAAACCCAGGCGUUCUAAGCGCUCAGGACGACGAUUUGCGCUCACGCCAGGACCCUAGUCUUCAUUGGACCCUUCCUCAUUCUGUCCUCAUUGAGGCCAUCUGAGAAUAGGGGCUAUCUGAGAAUGCAGGGGAGUGGACAUCGUGUGCAGACAGGGAGUCUGAUUGUGAGUGCCACGGGGCUGAGGCCUGCGCCGACCUGGUCUGCUGGUGCUACCAGGCUUGAACAGUCUUCAAAUCCACUGCUAUUAGGCAAAUUACCUGGCUCCCGCUGAACUCCAGCACCUAGAACUAUGUCACACUCGUAGUAGGCCGCUGCAUUGGUUGAACAAAUGAUUUUGAAAGAAUGAAUGUCUUCCUCUGUGCCUGCAUUUCCUCAGAAGGCUGUA
This 392-nucleotide long non-coding RNA is filed under the name Homo sapiens (human). Its description in RNAcentral is "non-protein coding lnc-FKBP2-1:10". The record is from RNAcentral. Lineage: Eukaryota; Metazoa; Chordata; Mammalia; Primates; Hominidae.